UUGUAAUAUGUGAAGUCUUGCUUGAGAAUGCUCUGGGCACCUGACUAUGGAAGGUAGAAUGGAAAUUGCAACAACAAAAUUCUAACUCUAAUAAAAUACCAACUAAAUUCUAAUUAGACCAUAACAAUGCUAAGCAAGUUUUAAUCAAAUUCAAAGAAACCUCAAAAGAAUUACAAAGAAACAACAAGAAAUCUUAAAGAAAUAUUAGAAUCAUCACAAAUAUCUCAAAUAUAUUUCAAUUCAAUCUUAAUUUAAUCUUAGUUAAAAUCCUAUUGGACUUCAUUCAAAUUUUAGGCCAAAAACUAAUUAAAUCUAAAAUCCUAAAUAAAUCCUAAUAAAAUCCUAAAUCCUAAACCAAACCCUAAUCAAAUCCUAAAUCCUAAAUUUAAAUCAAAUCUUAAUCAAAUUCUAACCCUAAAUCAAAUCCUAAAUCCUAAAUUUAAAUCAAAUCCUAAUCAAAUUCUAAUCCUAAAUCAAAUCCUAAAUCUUAAAUUUAAAUCAAAUCCUAAACUCUAAAUUUAAAUCAAAUGCUAAUCAAAUUCUAAUCCUAAAUCAAAUCUUAAAUCCUAUAUCAAAUCUUAACCAAAUUUUAAAUCCUACACUAAAUUCUAAACCCUAAAUCAAGCCCUAAUCAAACUCUAACCAAAUCCUAAA
Molecule: long non-coding RNA, 654 nt
Filed under: Physcomitrium patens
Lineage: Eukaryota; Viridiplantae; Streptophyta; Bryopsida; Funariales; Funariaceae
Description: long non-coding RNA (PPAT_LNC010104)
Source: RNAcentral